GAUGAACGCUGGCGGCGUGCCUAAUACAUGCAAGUCGAGCGAACGGACGAGAAGCUUGCUUCUCUGAUGUUAGCGGCGGACGGGUGAGUAACACGUGGAUAACCUACCUAUAAGACUGGGAUAACUUCGGGAAACCGGAGCUAAUACCGGAUAAUAUUUUGAACCGCAUGGUUCAAAAGUGAAAGACGGUCUUGCUGUCACUUAUAGAUGGAUCCACGCUGCAUUAGCUAGUUGGUAAGGUAACGGCUUACCAAGGCAACGAUGCAUAGCCGACCUGAGAGGGUGAUCGGCCACACUGGAACUGAGACACGGUCCAGACCCCUACGGGAGGCAGCAGUAGGGAAUCUUCCGCAAUGGGCGAAAGCCUGACGGAGCAACGCCGCGUGAGUGAUGAAGGUCUUCGGAUCGUAAAACUCUGUUAUUAGGGAAGAACAUAUGUGUAAGUAACUGUGCACAUCUUGACGGUACCUAAUCAGAAAGCCACGGCUAACUACGUG
RNAcentral lists this ribosomal RNA (497 nucleotides) under uncultured bacterium. Its description in RNAcentral is "partial 16S ribosomal RNA". It matches the Rfam family "Bacterial small subunit ribosomal RNA", at positions 28 to 507 of the family's 1533-position model. The record is from RNAcentral.